Molecule: ribosomal RNA, 500 nt
Filed under: uncultured bacterium
Lineage: Bacteria
Description: partial 16S ribosomal RNA
Rfam family: Bacterial small subunit ribosomal RNA
Source: RNAcentral
AUUGAACGCUGGCGGCAUGCUUUACACACGCAAGUCGAACGGUAACAGGGUGCUUGCACCGCUGACGAGUGGCGAACGGGUGAGUAAUGCGUCGGAACGUGCCGAGUAGUGGGGGAUAACGCAGCGAAAGUUGUGCUAAUACCGCAUACGUACUGAGGUAGAAAGUGGGGGACCUUCGGGCCUCACGCUAUUCGAGCGGCCGACGUCUGAUUAGCUAGUAGGUGAGGUAAAGGCUCACCUAGGCGACGAUCAGUAGCGGGUCUGAGAGGAUGAUCCGCCACACGGGGACUGGGACACGGCCCAGACUCCUACGGGAGGCAGCAGUGGGGAAUUUUGGACAAUGGGCGAAAGCCUGAUCCAGCCAUGCCGCGUGUCUGAAGAAGGCCUUCGGGUUGUAAAGGACUUUUGUCAGGGAGGAAAUCCCUAGUGCUAAUAACACUGGGGGAUGACAGUACCUGAAGAAUAAGCACCGGCUAACUACGUGCCAGCCGCCGCCGUAA